UACGUAGGGGGCAAGCGUUGUCCGGAAUCAUUGGGCGUAAAGCGCGUGUAGGCGGCCCGAUAAGUCCGCUGUGAAAGUCCAGGGCUCAACCCUGGGAUGCCGGUGGAUACUGUCGGGCUAGAGUACGGAAGAGGCGAGUGGAAUUCCUGGUGUAGCGGUGAAAUGCGCAGAUAUCAGGAGGAACACCAAUUGCGAAGGCAGCUCGCUGGGACGUUACUGACGCUGAGACGCGAAAGCGUGGGGAGCAAACAGG
RNAcentral lists this ribosomal RNA (253 nucleotides) under uncultured bacterium. Its description in RNAcentral is "partial 16S ribosomal RNA". It matches the Rfam family "Bacterial small subunit ribosomal RNA", at positions 524 to 776 of the family's 1533-position model. The record is from RNAcentral.